AGCCCUUCGUCUUCUUCCUCCCACCGAACCAAAAGCUCUCCAUCUCUUCUCCCUCAAACCAAAGAUUUCUCUCAAAUAUUUCCUCCCAUCGAUUUUCAUUUUUCAAAUUGCCCAUUUAGGAACCAAGUUCCUCUUUUCUUCCUUCUUCAUUUGGGGCGGUUCGAGCUUGCCCUAGACUCUACCCGUCUUCUCCAAAUCGACACAUCACCUCUGCAAAAUCUUUGCCUUUCCACUAGAAUCUUUUCCUCUCUCCCUCGCAUUUAGUCUUCAAAGCUCCGUGCAAGUCCUUGUGCAAAUUGCUCCCAAAAUGAAACUUCCACAGAGGAAAAAAUCUGUUCGCGGUUGAAAG
Molecule: long non-coding RNA, 349 nt
Filed under: Elaeis guineensis (African oil palm)
Lineage: Eukaryota; Viridiplantae; Streptophyta; Magnoliopsida; Arecales; Arecaceae
Description: long non-coding RNA (EGUI_LNC033308)
Source: RNAcentral